CGUAAGGCGCCGAAUGAGUCAUUAAAAAAUUAACAUCAUCCGAUCCCUAGUCGGCAUAGUUUAUGGUUAAGACUACGACGGUAUCUGAUCGUCUUCGAUCCCCCUAACUUUCGUUCUUGAUUAAUGAAAACAUCCUUGGCAAAUGCUUUCGCAGUAGUUAGUCUUCAAUAAAUCCAAGAAUUUCACCUCUGACAAUUGAAUACUAAUGCCCCCAACUAUCCCUAUUAAUCAUUACGUCAAUCCUAGAAACCAACAAAAUAGGAUCGAACGUCCUAUUUCAUUAUUCCAUGCUAAUGUAUUCAAGCGUUAGCUUGCUUUAAACACUCUAAUUUUUUCAAAGUAACAGUCCUGAUUUCCCAAGACACCAAAUUAAUGACAUCAAGGUUCGUCAGAAGGGAGAAACCAAAAAUAUCAGUACGUACCGAGGCACGACCAACAUAUUAGUCCCGAAAUUCAACUACGAGCUUUUUAACUGCAACAACUUUAAUAUACGCUAUUGGAGCUGGAAUUACCGCGGCUG
This 520-nucleotide ribosomal RNA is filed under the name uncultured Glomus. Its description in RNAcentral is "partial 18S ribosomal RNA". The record is from RNAcentral. Lineage: Eukaryota; Fungi; Glomeromycota; Glomeromycetes; Glomerales; Glomeraceae.